GCAGCAGGGUUGGUAACACUGGCCACAACAACAACAACACAGUCUGUUCACCUGUUCUGUUAUAUGAAGAAUUAGCCUUGCACUACCAACACCCACUACCAUAAAGCUCAUUGUGUCGGCAGUACUCCACAACAGUCAGAUCUGAUGCAUCACGUGAAGGCUGAUAUGACAGAGAAACCACAUCGGUGUUUGGAAUGCUUGAAAUACUUUCCAAGUAAAACACGACUCAUACGUCACACAAGAGUUCAUACUGGAGAGAAACCAUAUCAGUGUUCUGAGUGUUUAAAAGAAUUUUCACAGAAGUCGUCUCUGAUACUUCAUACAAGAGUUCACACAGGAGAGAAACCUUAUAAAUGUUCAAGGUGUCUAAAAGAUUUUUCACAGAGAUCAACUUUAAUGCAACAUAUGAGAGUACAUUCAGGUGAGAAACCAUAUCAGUGUUCAGUGUGUCUAAAACACUUCUCACAAAAUUCAAAUUUAAUGCAACACAUGAGAGUUCACACAGGAGAGAAACCUUAUCAAUGUUCAGAGUGUCACAAAGACUUUAAACAAAAAUCUGUUCUAGUACAACACAUGAGAGCUCAUACUGGAGAGAAACCAUUUCAGUGUUCAGAAUGCUUAAAGGAGUUUAGAGGGAAAAAAAAUUUAAAACAGCACAUGAGAGUUCAUACAGGAGAGAAGCCUUAUCGGUGUCCAGUGUGUUCAAAAGAUUUUUCAAAAAAGUCACAUUUAGUACGACACAAAAGAGUUCAUAUGGGAGAUCAGCUAUUUCAGUGUUCGGAAUGUUUCAAAGAUUUUAAACAUAAAUCAAAUCUAAUCCUUCACAUGAAAGCUCAUGUAAAAGAGAAACCGUAUCGUUGUUCAGAGUGUCUAAAAGAUUUUAAACAAAAAUCCUAUCUAAUGCUUCAUCAGAGAGUUCAUACACAAGAGGCAAUAGCACUUCAGUGUUCCAUAUGUCUCAAAUUUUUAUCAAAAAAAUCACAUUUAAUACGACACAUGAUAGCUCAUACAACAGAGAAAGCAUAAUGCUCUUUGGUUUCUGGCAGAAUUUUAAUUUAAGUAUAAUAAAAUCUUGAGAAUUCAGAAGAGAAACCACAUUAGCAUUCUGUAUUUGAAAUUUUUAAAAAAAUUUCAACUCGUUAGGUAUUUGAGAACCCAUAUAAAAUUUAGGAAUGCAUUUUUACAUUGAGGUUAUCUAGUAACAAAAAAACUUGCAUGAAUGUUAGUUGAUUUUGGAUUAAGAGAACAAAACAAAAUGGUAAGUUUGAGGGCACUGCAGUGUACCUGUCUGUCCUCUACCAACAACACUGUGUGUGUGUGUGAGGACACUGCAGUGUACCUGUCUGUUCUCAACCAACAACACUGUGUGUGUGUGUGAGGACACUGCAGUGUACCUGUCUGUUCUCAACCAACAACACUGUGUGUGUGUGUGUGAGGACACUGCAGUGUACCUGUUUGUUCUCAACCAACAACACUGUGUGUGUGUGUGUGAGGACACUGCAGUGUACCUGUCUGUUCUCAACCAACAACACUGUGUGUGUGUGUGAGGACACUGCAGUGUACCUGUCUGUUCUCCACCAACAGCAGUGUGUGCAUGUGAGGACACUGCAGUGUACCUGUCUGUCCUCCACCAACAGCAGUGUGUGCAUGUGAGGACACUGCAGUAUACCUGUCUGUUCUCCAUCAACAACAGUGUGUGUGUGUGAGGACACUGCAGUGUACCUGUCUGUCCUCCACCAACAACAGUGUGUGUGCGAGGACACUGCAGUAUACCUGUCUGUUCUCAACCAACAACAGUGUGUGUGCGAGGACACUGCAGUAUACCUGUCUGUUCUCAACCAACAACAGUGUGUUGUGCGAGGACACUGCAGUAUACCUGUCUGUUCUCAACCAACAACAGUGUGUGUGCGAGGACACUGCAGUAUACCUGUCUGUUCUCAACCAACAACAGUGUGUGUGCGAGGACACUGCAGUAUACCUGUCUGUUCUCAACCAACAACAGUGUGUGUGCGAGGACACUGCAGUAUACCUGUCUGUUCUCAACCAACAACAGUUGUGUGUGCGAGGACACUGCAGUAUACCUGUCUGUCCUCCACCAACAACAGUGUGUGUGUGCGAGGACACUGCAGUAUACCUGUCUGUUCUCCAUCAACAACAGUGUGUGUGUGUGAGGACACUGCAGUGUACCUGUCUGUCCUCCACCAACAACAGCGUGUGUGUGAGGACACUGCAGUGUACCUGUCUGUUCUCAACCAACAACAGUGUGUGUGUGAGGACACUGCAGUGUACCUGUCUGUCCUCCACCAACAACAGUGUGUGUGUGAGGACACUGCAGUGUACCUGUCUGUUCUCCACCAACAACUGAGUGUGUGUGUGUGAGGACACUGCAGUGUACCUGUCUGUCCUCCACCAACAACAGUGUGUGUGUGAGGACACUGCAGUGUACCUGUCUGUUCUCCACCAACAACAGUGUGUGUGUGAGGGCACUGCAAUGUACCUGUCUGUCCUCCACUAACAACAUUGUGUGUGUGUGAGGACACUGCAGUGUACCUGUCUCUCCUCACCAACAACAGUGUGUGUGUGAGGGCACUGCAGUGUACCUGUCUGUCCUCCACUAGCAACAGUUAUGUGAGGGCACUGCAGUGUACCUGUCUGUCCACUACCAACAACAGUGUGUGUGAGGACACUGCAGUGUACCUGUCUGUCCUCCACUAACAACAGUAUGUAAGGGCACUUCCGUGUACCUAUCUGUUCUACACCAACAACAGUGUGUGUGAGGGCACUGCAGUGUACCUGUCUGUCUUCCAACAACAACACAGUGUGUAAGGGCACUGCAGUGUACUGUCCUCUACCAACAACAAUGUGUGUGUGUGAGAGAGAGCACUGCAGUGUACCUGUCUGUCCUCCAACAAUAACAAUGUGUGUGGUGAUGCCAGCACUCUUUAAGAAACUACAGUGUGUAUACCUAACAAGCUUUGUCCAUUGUUUGAUAAUCAUUUGACCCAGUGGAUUUUGACCCAUAUUUCCAGUCUGUUAAUUAAAGGUCUCUUUAAUUGAAGAGUUACUGUAUAUGACAUAUGCAAACCCCUGGUCAAUUUGCAGGACAGACUGGCUGGACACUGCUGUUGACCCUUGCUUAAUGAAUAUUCGCUGAGCAUAAUUUUGAGGAACAGCCAAAAAAUAAAAAUUCCCUGCUUGAAUACCAUUUUUAUGCACUUGCAAUGACCUCAUGCCAGGCAGUAACUAUUAUUAACUGACAAGGCGUAUACAUACCUGCUGUUAUUUCAAUAAAAUAUAUUUCUUUUACUAGUUCCAUAUGUGUCAGUUUACAGUGGACCCCCGGAUUAAGAAGUCAUCAGAAUAAGUAAUAAUUGGAAUAAAUAAAAUUUUUGCGUCAAAAUAUUGGCUCGGUGAACAUCACUGAACUCGGUAUAAGUCAUUCGUGUUGGGGCCUGAUCUGCCCAGUGUGCCAUUGUUUACCAGCCAGCGAGGACGACGAUCCCACACAUUCAUACAAUACAUUUUGUAUUAUUCCAUUCUUUUUAGUGCUUGUAACUGCUAAAUAAGCCACCAUGGGCCCAAAGAAAGCUUCUAAUGCCAGUCAGCCCUUUGGUAAAGGGCUGAGAGAGAGAGAGGGGAGAAUGUGCCUUUUUCAGUGAUUCUGCAAUAUGUAUGAUACUAAACAGCAGGAGUCUAUAAAGGUUAUAGUGCCAGCCAGUGAUAAAAUGUAGCAUUAACUUAAUCGAUAGAAAAAGGGCAGCAUGAACCAAACUCCUCCAAUGUUGUUGGAGUUAUAUAGGGUGACUAACAACACUGCCGUCUCUAGUCUCUACUGUUGCUGCCACCUCCACCACCGCUAUGUAUGGUUUAUGUCUCAGUGGCCCUUAUAUACCCAACAACAGUAACACAGCAACACUUGUGACAUACUUAAUGACGUAUUUUAUUCAUUCUAGAGUAUGUCAUGUUUCUGUGUUAUUAAUAUUGUUUAUUAUGUCAGAUGAAUUGUGCUAGAUAAAUAAGCCGUAGAGCUGAUAUUAGUGUGAUAUUGAAGGACUAUCUUGUUCUCUCUCCCAGCACAAUUCCUAACAUAUGCCAGAAACAGACCUGUCUGGAAAACUUUUUUGAGCAACAGGGGUCCAGCGACUCUCAAGCUGGUCCUAGUGGCAUUAAAAAACAAAGGAGGGAAGUAACCCAGGAUAAGGACUUGGUACCUGAAGUCUUUAUGGAGUGGAUUUCCCUUCCAAACAAUUGUAAACUCCUCCAUCCUCUCCCCUCCUCUCGUCUUCCAUACAUCACCAUGUCUUCAAUAAAGGUAAGUUUGAUGUUAUUAUCACUAUUCUUCAUGUAUCAUUGUUUUCUGUGUAGGUAAAUGUAUGUUUCAUGUAGAAAACAUUUUUUUAAUACUUUUGGCUGUCUGAAACGGAUUAAUUGAUUUCCAUUAUUUCUUAUGGGGAAAAUUAAUUCGGAAUAAGUCAGAUUCGGGAUAAGUCAUUCUUCCUGGAACGGAAUAAUUUCGUAAUCUGGGGGUCCACUGUAUUUUAAAUAAAAUUUACUGAAGAAAAAUAUGGGUGUGAUGUAUGGGUUGUAAAUGUUGCAGCAAGGAGGAGGCUGGAGGAAGUGGAGAUGUCAUGUCUGAGGGAAAUGUGCAGUGUAAAUAUUAUGAAAAGAAUUCGUUGUUUGGAGAUUAAGAUGAGUUGCAAGGUUACUGAAAGUAUUAUGCAGAGGGCUGAAGAGAAGUUAUUGAGGUGGUUCGAACAUUUAGAAAGACUGGAGCAAAAUAGGGUGACUUGGAAGGCAUAUAAAUCUGUAAUGGAGGAAAGGCAGGGCAGGGGUCACUCUAGAAAAGGUUGGAGGGAGAGAGUAAAGGAAGUUUUAUAUGUGAGAGGCUUGGAUAUCCAGCAGUUCCCUACAGCCUGAUCGUGGACUGGGCUGCGGGGACGUUGAUCCCCAGAACACCCUUCAGGUAGGUAGAGCAUGUUAGAUAGGAUUGAGUGGAGGCAAGUGGUUUUUAUGACUUUGUGCUGUUCGAGUGUGAGCAAGGUAACAUUUAUGAAGGAAUACAGGGAAAUCAGUUAGCCAGACUUGAGUCCUGGAGGUAGGAAGUACAGUACCUGCACUCUGAAGAAGGGGUUGGAAUAUUUGCACUUUAAACAGGUAUCUGAGCUGUAAUGUCAUUACAUCUCUGGCAAGACAAUGGUGGAGUGAGUGAUGGUGAAAGUGUCACUUCUUUUUCAGGUCACCCUGCCUCUGUAGAGGAUGGCUGGUGUGUUAAAAAAUAAAAAGAACCUCAGAUCAGUUGUAAUAUACAAUACCACAUUUCUUGACCAAAUAUAGCAGACAAAUAGGGACCCACUAAGCCUACACCAAAUUACAGUAGACAAAUAGGGACCCACUAAGCCUACACCAAAUUACAGUAGACAAAUAGGGACCCACUAAGCCUACACCAAAUUACAGUAGACAAAUAGGGACCCACUAAGCCUACACCAAAUUACAGCAGACAAAUAGGGACCCACUAAGCCUACACCAAAUUAUAGCAGAUAAAUAGGGACCCACUAAGCCUACAUCAAAUUAUGAAUAUAGACAAAUAGGGACCCAAUGAACAUACACCAAAUUAUAGCAGACAAAUAGGGACCCACUAAGCCUACACCAAAUUAUAACAGACAAAUAGGGACCACUAAGCCUAUACACUAAAUGAUCAUAAG
Non-coding RNA from Cherax quadricarinatus, 5702 nucleotides. Lineage: Eukaryota; Metazoa; Arthropoda; Malacostraca; Decapoda; Parastacidae. The record is from RefSeq and is a predicted model, not a curated record.